This 301-nucleotide ribosomal RNA is filed under the name uncultured bacterium. Its description in RNAcentral is "partial 16S ribosomal RNA". It matches the Rfam family "Bacterial small subunit ribosomal RNA", at positions 509 to 807 of the family's 1533-position model. The record is from RNAcentral.
CAGCAGCCGCGGGAAUACGAAGGGUGCAAGCGUUACUCGGAAUUACUGGGCGUAAAGCGUGCGCAGGUGGUGGUUUAAGUCCGUUGUGAAAGCCCUGGGCUCAACCUGGGAAUUGCAGUGGAUACUGGGUCACUAGAGUGUGGUAGAGGAUAGUGGAAUUUCCGGUGUAGCAGUGAAAUGCGUAGAGAUCGGAAGGAACAUCUGUGGCGAAGGCGACUAUCUGGGCCAACACUGACACUGAGGCACGAAAGCGUGGGGAGCAAACAGGAUUAGAUACCCCCGUAGUCCCUGUCUCUUAUAC